RNAcentral lists this ribosomal RNA (810 nucleotides) under uncultured archaeon. RNAcentral describes it as "bacterial SSU rRNA". It matches the Rfam family "Archaeal small subunit ribosomal RNA", at positions 110 to 922 of the family's 1478-position model. The record is from RNAcentral.
UAACUCGUGGACGUGGAUAACCUCGGGAAACUGAGAAUAAACCACGAUAGAUCAUAGUGCCUGGAAUGGCUUAUGGUCCAAACAGUUUACUGCCAUGGGAUGGGACUGCGGCCUAUCAGCUUGUUGGUGAGGUAAUGGCCCACCAAGGCGAUUACAGGUACGGGCUCUGAGAGGAGAAGCCCGGAGAUGGGUACUGAGACACGGACCCAGGCCCUAUGGGGCGCAGCAGGCGAGAAACCUUAGCAAUGUGCGAAAGCACGACUGGGUCAGUCCGAGUGAUUCCUGAUAAAGGAGUCUUUUGCCUGUCCUAAAAGCACAGGUGAAUAAGGGGUGGGCAAGUCUGGUGUCAGCCGCCGCGGUAAUACCAGCACCUCGAGUGGUCAGGACGUUUAUUGGGCCUAAAGCAUCCGUAGCCGGCUUUGCAAGUCUUCGGUUAAAUCCACCUGCUCAACAGAUGGGCCGCUGGAGAUACUACAGAGCUAGGGAGUGGGAGAGGCAGACGGUAUUCAGUGGGUAGGGGUAAAAUCCUCUGAUCCAUUGAGGACCACCAGUGGCGAAGGCGGUCUGCCAGAACACGUUCGACGGUGAGGGAUGAAAGCUGGGGGAGCAAACCGGAUUAGAUACCCGGGUAGUCCCAGCUGUAAACGACGCAAACUCGGUGAUGCAUUGGCUUAUGGCCAAUGCAGUGCCGCAGGGAAGCCGAGAAGCGAGCCGCCUGGGAAGUACGUCCGCAAGGAUGAAACUUAAAGGAAUUGGCGGGGGAGCACUACAACCGGAGGAGCCUGCGGUUUAAUUGGAUUCAACGCCGGA